This is a long non-coding RNA of Pantherophis guttatus, 490 nucleotides long. RefSeq lists it as uncharacterized. The record is from RefSeq and is a predicted model, not a curated record. NCBI's taxonomy places the organism in Eukaryota, Metazoa, Chordata, Lepidosauria, Squamata, Colubridae.
UUUCAGCAGAAAUUGGGUGAGGAGCCUGUAUUCCUGGAAUAGUAAUUUUUGAUUGAGUGCGAUUUUUUUGCUGCUGGGACCAACCACAGAAAGAUACACAACUCGGUUAAUGGUUGAUUAUGUGUGUUGUGAGUACAGGACCUUUCUGUAUCUUUACCAGAUCUAUUCAAGCAUCCUUGCUUCUACUCUGAAAAUGUUUGGAAUCCUCAUUAGUGAUACAAUACAUUAAGUUUCUGCAACAAAGCUGUAGGGAAAGUGGAUCCUUCUGUAGGGAGCAGACUCUUGAGACUGAUCAGGAACAUGGAUAGAACAUCUGUGGAACAUGCCAGAAAGGAGCAGCAUUAGAUUAUUCAAACCUCAGCUCACAAGCUUUGGCAACACUGUUCUCUGCUGAAUAUUCCCAUUGGCGUCCGUCAUCUGUGCCAGAUUAGUCCUCAGUUUUGAAGCUGAGUUUGAAGUUGGAGGUAACUUGGAAAUGGAUGUGAUAGCA